Molecule: ribosomal RNA, 579 nt
Filed under: uncultured Pedobacter sp.
Lineage: Bacteria; Pseudomonadati; Bacteroidota; Sphingobacteriia; Sphingobacteriales; Sphingobacteriaceae
Description: bacterial SSU rRNA
Rfam family: Bacterial small subunit ribosomal RNA
Source: RNAcentral
GUCGAGGGGUAGAGUAGGCUUGCUUACUUGAGACCGGCGCACGGGUGCGUAACGCGUAUGCAACCUACCUUUAUCUGGGGGAUAGCCCGGAGAAAUCCGGAUUAAUACCGCAUAAAAUCACAGAAUGGCAUUAUUCAAUGAUCAAACAUUAAUGGGAUAGAGAUGGGCAUGCGUGUCAUUAGCUAGUUGGCGGGGUAACGGCCCACCAAGGCGACGAUGACUAGGGGAUCUGAGAGGAUGACCCCCCACACUGGUACUGAGACACGGACCAGACUCCUACGGGAGGCAGCAGUAAGGAAUAUUGGUCAAUGGAGGCAACUCUGAACCAGCCAUGCCGCGUGCAGGAAGACUGCCCUAUGGGUUGUAAACUGCUUUUAUCCGGGAAUAAACCACGAUACGUGUAUUGUGCUGAAUGUACCGGAAGAAUAAGGAUCGGCUAACUCCGUGCCAGCAGCCGCGGUAAUACGGAGGAUCCAAGCGUUAUCCGGAUUUAUUGGGUUUAAAGGGUGCGUAGGCGGCCUGUUAAGUCAGGGGUGAAAGACGGUAGCUCAACUAUCGCAGUGCCUUUGAUACUGACGG